AGAGUUUGAGCUUGAAUAAGCUUAUGUUUUGAAAACAUAUGAUAUUAAUUAAAUUAAUAAAUUCUU
This 66-nucleotide transfer RNA is filed under the name Agenioideus sp. SJW-2017. RNAcentral's name for it is "tRNA-Ser". Lineage: Eukaryota; Metazoa; Arthropoda; Insecta; Hymenoptera; Pompilidae. The record is from RNAcentral.